CCUACGGGAGGCAGCAGUAGGGAAUCUUCGGCAAUGGACGGAAGUCUGACCGAGCAACGCCGCGUGAGUGAAGAAGGUUUUCGGAUCGUAAAGCUCUGUUGUAAGAGAAGAACGAGUGUGAGAGUGGAAAGUUCACACUGUGACGGUAUCUUACCAGAAAGGGACGGCUAACUACGUGCCAGCAGCCGCGGUAAUACGUAGGUCCCGAGCGUUGUCCGGAUUUAUUGGGCGUAAAGCGAGCGCAGGCGGUUAGAUGAGUCUGAAGUUAAAGGCUGUGGCUUAACCAUAGUAUGCUUUGGAAACUGUUUAACUUGAGUGCAAGAGGGGAGAGUGGAAUUCCAUGUGUAGCGGUGAAAUGCGUAGAUAUAUGGAGGAACACCGGUGGCGAAAGCGGCUCUCUGGCUUGUAACUGACGCUGAGGCUCGAAAGCGUGGGGAGCAAACAGGAUUAGAUACCCUGGUAGUCCACGCCGUAAACGAUGAGUGCUAGGUGUUAGACCCUUUCCGGGGUUUAGUGCCGUAGCUAACGCAUUAAGCACUCCGCCUGGGGAGUACGACCGCAAGGUUGAAACUCAAAGGAAUUGACGG
RNAcentral lists this ribosomal RNA (587 nucleotides) under uncultured bacterium. RNAcentral describes it as "bacterial SSU rRNA". It matches the Rfam family "Bacterial small subunit ribosomal RNA", at positions 338 to 916 of the family's 1533-position model. The record is from RNAcentral.